UGAACGCUGGCGGCGUGCCUAAUACAUGCACGUCGAGCGAACGGACGCGAAGCUUGCUUUUCUGAUGUUAGCGGCGGACGGGUGAGUAACACGUGGAUAACCUACCUAUAGGACUGGGAUAACUUCGGGAAACCGGAGCUAAUACCGGAUAAUAUUUUGAACCGCAUGGUUCAAAAGUGAAAGACGGUCUUGCUGUCACUUAUAGAUGGAUCCGCGCUGCAUUAGCUAGUUGGUAAGGUAACGGCUUACCAAGGCAACGAUGCAUAGCCGACCUGAGAGGGUGAUCGGCCACACUGGAACUGAGACACGGUCCAGACUCCUACGGGAGGCAGCAGUAGGGAAUCUUCCGCAAUGGGCGAAAGCCUGACGGAGCAACGCCGCGUGAGUGAUGAAGGUCUUCGGAUCGUAAAACUCUGUUAUUAGGGAAGAACAUAUGUGUAAGUAACUGUGCACAUCUUGACGGUACCUAAUCAGAAAGCCACGGCUAACUACGUG
This 495-nucleotide ribosomal RNA is filed under the name uncultured bacterium. RNAcentral describes it as "partial 16S ribosomal RNA". It matches the Rfam family "Bacterial small subunit ribosomal RNA", at positions 30 to 507 of the family's 1533-position model. The record is from RNAcentral.